CUAAUGCAUUUGCUUAUUGCACCACAUGUGUUUUUCUUUGAAACAAACUUGCUUUGGCGGUGGGCCCAGCCUGCCGCCAGAGGUCUAAACUUACAACCAAUUUUUUAUCAACUUGUCACACCAGAUUAUUACUAAUAGUCAAAACUUUCAACAACGGAUCUCUUGGUUCUCGCAUCGAUGAAGAACGCAGCGAAAUGCGAUACGUAAUAUGAAUUGCAGAUAUUCGUGAAUCAUCGAAUCUUUGAACGCACAUUGCGCCCUCUGGUAUUCCGGAGGGCAUGCCUGUUUGAGCGUCGUUUCUCCCUCAAACCGCUGGGUUUGGUGUUGAGCAAUACGACUUGGGUUUGCUUGAAAGACGGUAGUGGUAAGGCGGGAUCGCUUUGACAAUGGCUUAGGUCUAACCAAAAACAUUGCUUGCGGCGGUAACGUCCACCACGUAUAUCUUCAAACUUUGACCUCAAAUCAGGUAGGACUACCCGCUGAACUUAAGCAUAUCAAUAAGCGGAGGAA
Molecule: ribosomal RNA, 510 nt
Filed under: Candida albicans
Lineage: Eukaryota; Fungi; Ascomycota; Pichiomycetes; Serinales; Debaryomycetaceae
Description: eukaryotic LSU rRNA
Rfam family: 5.8S ribosomal RNA (bases 143-296)
Source: RNAcentral